UGGAUACUGUGGCAUUCUAGAGCUAAUACAUGCACGCAGGCUCGGACCUUUUGGGAAGAGCGCAUUUAUUAGACCAAAACCAAUCGGGCUUCGGCCUGUGUUUUGGUGACUCUGAAUAACUAAGUCGAUCGCACAGUCCUAGUACUGGCGAUGUAUCUUUCAAGUGUCUGCCUUAUCAACUUUCGAUGGUACGCUAUACGCCUACCAUGGUAGUAACGGGUAACGGAGAAUAAGGGUUCGACUCCGGAGAGGGAGCCUGAGAAACGGCUACCACAUCCAAGGAAGGCAGCAGGCGCGCAAAUUACCCACUUCCAGAACGGAGAGGUAGUGACGAAAAAUAACGAGACAGUCCUCUUCGAGGUCUGUCAUCGGAAUGGGUACAAUUUAAAUCCUUUAACGAGGAUCUAUUGGAGGGCAAGUCUGGUGCCAGCAGCCGCGGUAAUUCCAGCUCCAAUAGCGUAUAUUAAAGUUGUUGCGGUUAAAACGCUCGUAGUUGGAUCUGCGACCUCGAAGAACGGUCCCCCGAAAGGGUGGUCACUGUCUCUUCUAGUCUAAAUUCAAGUUGUCUUUAGGUGCUCUUUAUUGAGUGCUUAGAGCGACUAGAACGUUUACUUUGAAAAAAUUAGAGUGCUUAAAGCAGACGAAAUAGUCUGAAUAAGGUGCAUGGAAUAAUGGAAUAGGAUCUCGGUUCUAUUUUGUUGGUUUUCGGAGCCCGAGAUAAUGAUUAAGAGGAACAGACGGGGGCAUUCGUAUUUCGGCGCUAGAGGUGAAAUUCUUGGACC
This 782-nucleotide ribosomal RNA is filed under the name Nematoda environmental sample. Its description in RNAcentral is "SSU rRNA". It matches the Rfam family "Eukaryotic small subunit ribosomal RNA", at positions 140 to 926 of the family's 1831-position model. Lineage: Eukaryota; Metazoa; Nematoda. The record is from RNAcentral.